AGCGGGGGAUCUUCGGACCUCGCGCUAUCGGAUGAGCCUAGGUCGGAUUAGCUAGUUGGUGAGGUAAAGGCUCACCAAGGCGACGAUCCGUAGCUGGUCCGAGAGGAUGAUCAGCCACACUGGAACUGAGACACGGUCCAGACUCCUACGGGAGGCAGCAGUGGGGAAUAUUGGACAAUGGGCGAAAGCCUGAUCCAGCCAUGCCGCGUGUGUGAAGAAGGUCUUCGGAUUGUAAAGCACUUUAAGUUGGGAGGAAGGGUUGUAACCUAAUACGUUGCAACUUUGACGUUACCGACAGAAUAAGCACCGGCUAACUUCGUGCCAGCAGCCGCGGUAAUACGAAGGGUGCAAGCGUUAAUCGGAAUUACUGGGCGUAAAGCGCGCGUAGGUGGUUUGAUAAGUUGGAUGUGAGAGCCCCGGGCUCAACCUGGGAGUUGCAUCCAAAACUGUCUGACUAGAGUACGGUAGAGGGUAGUGGAAUUUCCUGUGUAGCGGUGAAAUGCGUAGAUAUGUGGAGGAAUACCGGUGGCGAAGGCGGCCUCCUGGCUCAAUACUGACGCUGAGGUGCGAAAGCGUGGGGAUCAAACAGGAUUAGAUACCCUGGUAGUCCACGCCGUAAACGAUGUCGACUAGCCGUUGGGGACCUUGGUGUCCUUGGUGGCGUAGCUAACGCGCUAAGUC
This 681-nucleotide ribosomal RNA is filed under the name uncultured Gammaproteobacteria bacterium. Its description in RNAcentral is "bacterial SSU rRNA". It matches the Rfam family "Bacterial small subunit ribosomal RNA", at positions 202 to 866 of the family's 1533-position model. The record is from RNAcentral. Lineage: Bacteria; Pseudomonadati; Pseudomonadota; Gammaproteobacteria.